RNAcentral lists this ribosomal RNA (587 nucleotides) under Naganishia diffluens. RNAcentral describes it as "eukaryotic LSU rRNA". The stretch from base 186 to 339 matches the Rfam family "5.8S ribosomal RNA". The record is from RNAcentral. Lineage: Eukaryota; Fungi; Basidiomycota; Tremellomycetes; Filobasidiales; Filobasidiaceae.
UCCGUAGGUGAACCUGCGGAAGGAUCAUUAAUGAUUAACUGUCUGUCGAGCUUGCUCACAGACUUAUCAUAUCCAUAACACCUGUGCACUUGUCGGAUGGCUUAGUGAAGACCGCAAGGUUGGAUCUAUCCAUCUACUUUACAUAACAAUUUAGUAACAAAUGUAGUCUUAUUAUAACAUAAUAAAACUUUCAACAACGGAUCUCUUGGCUCUCGCAUCGAUGAAGAACGCAGCGAAAUGCGAUAAGUAAUGUGAAUUGCAGAAUUCAGUGAAUCAUCGAAUCUUUGAACGCACCUUGCGCUCCCUGGUAUUCCGGGGAGCAUGCCUGUUUGAGUGUCAUGAAAACCCUCAACCUUAGAUUGGUUAACACCUUUCUUUGGCUUGGAUUUGGACGUUUGCCGAUGAUAAGUCGGCUCGUCUUAAAAGUAAUAGCUGGAUCUGUCUCGCGACAUGGUUUGACUUGGCGUAAUAAGUAUUUCGCUAAGGACAUCUUCGGAUGGCCGCGUUGCAAGACUAAAGACCGCUUUCUAAUCCAUUGAUCUUCGGAUUAAUAUUCUUGACAUCUGGCCUCAAAUCAGGUAGGACUA